GAUGAACGCUGGCGGCGUGCCUAAUACAUGCAAGUCGAGCGAACGGACGAGAAGCUUGCUUCUCUGAUGUUAGCGGCGGACGGGUGAGUAACACGUGGAUAACCUACCUAUAAGACUGGGAUAACUUCGGGAAACCGGAGCUAAUACCGGAUAAUAUAUUGAACCGCAUGGUUCAAAAGUGAAAGACGGUCUUGCUGUCACUUAUAGAUGGAUCCGCGCUGCAUUAGCUAGUUGGUAAGGUAACGGCUUACCAAGGCAACGAUGCAUAGCCGACCUGAGAGGGUGAUCGGCCACACUGGAAGUGAGACACGGUCCAGACUCCUACGGGGGGCAGCAGUAGGGAAUCUUCCGCAAGGGGGGAAAGCCUGACGGAGCAACGCCGCGUGAGUGAUGAAGGACUUCGGAUCGUAAAACUCUGUUAGUAGGAAGGAACAAAAGUGUAAGUAACUGUGCACAUAUUGACGGUACCUGAUCAGAAAGCCACGGCUAACUACGUG
This 497-nucleotide ribosomal RNA is filed under the name uncultured bacterium. Its description in RNAcentral is "partial 16S ribosomal RNA". It matches the Rfam family "Bacterial small subunit ribosomal RNA", at positions 28 to 507 of the family's 1533-position model. The record is from RNAcentral.